This 657-nucleotide ribosomal RNA is filed under the name Salmonella enterica. Its description in RNAcentral is "partial 23S ribosomal RNA". It matches the Rfam family "Bacterial large subunit ribosomal RNA", at positions 2083 to 2739 of the family's 2925-position model. Lineage: Bacteria; Pseudomonadati; Pseudomonadota; Gammaproteobacteria; Enterobacterales; Enterobacteriaceae. RNAcentral also lists the same sequence under 1 other name. The record is from RNAcentral.
GAAAGACCCCGUGAACCUUUACUAUAGCUUGACACUGAACAUUGAGCCUUGAUGUGUAGGAUAGGUGGGAGGCUUUGAAGUGUGGACGCCAGUCUGCAUGGAGCCGACCUUGAAAUACCACCCUUUAAUGUUUGAUGUUCUAACGUGGACCCGUGAUCCGGGUUGCGGACAGUGUCUGGUGGGUAGUUUGACUGGGGCGGUCUCCUCCUAAAGAGUAACGGAGGAGCACGAAGGUUGGCUAAUCCUGGUCGGACAUCAGGAGGUUAGUGCAAUGGCAUAAGCCAGCUUGACUGCGAGCGUGACGGCGCGAGCAGGUGCGAAAGCAGGUCAUAGUGAUCCGGUGGUUCUGAAUGGAAGGGCCAUCGCUCAACGGAUAAAAGGUACUCCGGGGAUAACAGGCUGAUACCGCCCAAGAGUUCAUAUCGACGGCGGUGUUUGGCACCUCGAUGUCGGCUCAUCACAUCCUGGGGCUGAAGUAGGUCCCAAGGGUAUGGCUGUUCGCCAUUUAAAGUGGUACGCGAGCUGGGUUUAGAACGUCGUGAGACAGUUCGGUCCCUAUCUGCCGUGGGCGCUGGAGAACUGAGGGGGGCUGCUCCUAGUACGAGAGGACCGGAGUGGACGCAUCACUGGUGUUCGGGUUGUCAUGCCAAUGGCACU